AAAAAAAAAAAAAAAAAAGAAAAAAGAAAAAGGAAAG
Molecule: non-coding RNA, 37 nt
Filed under: Compsopogon caeruleus
Lineage: Eukaryota; Rhodophyta; Compsopogonophyceae; Compsopogonales; Compsopogonaceae
Source: RNAcentral